This 24-nucleotide microRNA is filed under the name Homo sapiens (human). RNAcentral's name for it is "hsa-miR-3613-3p". Lineage: Eukaryota; Metazoa; Chordata; Mammalia; Primates; Hominidae. The record is from miRBase by way of RNAcentral.
ACAAAAAAAAAAGCCCAACCCUUC